This is a non-coding RNA of Rattus norvegicus (Norway rat), 17747 nucleotides long. Lineage: Eukaryota; Metazoa; Chordata; Mammalia; Rodentia; Muridae. The record is from RefSeq and is a predicted model, not a curated record.
CUUUGUACAAGGUAAAAUAUCUCAGUCACUGUUCUAUUGCAGUGAAGAGCCACCAUGACCAUGCUAACUCUUAAAGUAAGUCAUAUAAUUUAGGGCUGGCUUACACUUUCAGAGGUUUCGUCCAUUAUCAUCAUGGCAGGGAGCAUGAUAGCAUGUGAGCAGACAUGGCACUGAAGCAGUAGCUGAGAUCUAUAUCCUGGUCCAUAGUCACAAAGAGUGAGGCUGGGUCUAACAUGUUCUUUUGAAACCUCAAAGCCUACCCCAAUGAUACACUUCCUCCAACAAGGCUAUACCUCCUAAUCCUUCUUAAAUAGUGCCACUCCCUGGUGUCAGAGCAUUCGCAUAUAUGAGCGGGGGUGGGGGGGGGAGCAUUCUUAUUCAAACCACCACAGCUAUGGAUCUAACUUUAUUCUCCUGCAGGUGGCUGUAUAGUCUUUCCAGCACCAUUUGUUGAACAGACUACCUUCUUCCCACCUGUUUGCCCACUUGGUCAGAAAAGAAAUAAAAUGUCAUUUUAUUUCUAAGACCUUUGUUUUUAUUUCAUUGGUCUGCUUGCCUGUGUUUGUGCCAGCAUCAGGCUAUCCUUGUCACUAUAGCUCUGCAGUAUGAUUUGAGGUCAGAUAUUGUAAAGGGCGCUGCAUUGCUUUUACUCCAUGGGAUUGCUUUGGCUGUCUGUGGUCUUUUGUGAUUCCAUAUGAAUCCUUGUAUUGAAUCAAAUAUGAUAUCAGAAUCCUGUCAGGUAUUGCAUUAAAUCUCUAAAUUAAUGUUGGUAGUGCGGCCAACACAACAAUAGUAAUUCUGCCAAUUACACUACAUAGUCUUUGUACCAUGUAGUGUCUUCCAUGACCUCAUUUCUCAGUGUCUUGAAGUUCUCCUCGAAGAGCUUGCCCUUUUCUUUAGUUUACAUAUAUUUCUAAAUGUUGGGGCAAGGGGACGAGUAUUUUGAAUGGCAUAUUUUUCUAAUCUCUUUCUCUGGGAGUACACUGAUGAUAGACAUGAAGACUAUUGUUAGAUGUUGUUGCUUCUAAUAUUGACUUUGUAUCCGGCAACUUUUUUUUCUUAUUCUUCAGCUGAGACAGCAGAAGAGACGAUUUAUUGUACACAAGUUAUACUUGGCCAUAAGUGAGGACAGAACUAGUCCAGAAUGAAGUCCGGGUUAGAGGCCCAACAGGGACCCUUCUGGUUAUGAGAAAGGCAAUUCCUCAGAGUGGGCUUGGUGGUCAGAUGAUGAACUUCCAUAUCUACUGAGUCUGAAUACUGACAGUAAUAUACAUUCCAACAACGUGGACCCGUGUCCUGGCCUCCACAUCCCUUAUUUGGACCUUUCAGCCUCUGUGGCUGCACAGCUAGCUUGCAUGGGCCUGCCUCGUUUUUCUUCUCUGGCACAUUCACUUCUUCCUCUAUCUUGUUCUCAUGGCUCAAGGAAGACGACACUCAGGCCAGGAGCCCCACCACUUUACUAUAAAUGUUUAUUAAGCCCAAGAGCUUUCUAGCAGCCUCUACAGAGCGUCUAAGGAAAGAAUCAUAUCUGUGAAUACGAAUAGACUGGCUUAUCUUUCCUUCUUUUAUAUAUCUUUUUCUUGUCUAAUUGCUAAAGCUAUGUGUCUUUAAGCACAUAUCAAAUGAGAGAUGAUAGGGUAGCCAUUCUUGAUUUCAGCAGAAAUGCUUUCCAUUUCUAUCCAUUUAAAACAAAUGUUAGCUGUAAGUGUGCUGUGCAUGGCCUUUACUAUUUUGAGGCAUGUCUCACAUAUUCCUGAAGUCACCCUUAUUUUUACCAUGCAGGCACCUGAGCUUAUUAAAAACCUUUUCCAGCAUCGAUUGAACUGACUACAUAAGUUAUGCCCUUAAGUUUAUUUACUGGUAUGUGAGUGUUUUGCCUUCAUUUAUGUAUGUGCACCACACGCAUGCAGUGCCCAUGGAGACCAGAAGGAGUUGUCUGACCUCCCAGAAGUGGACCUUUUCAGUGCGAAACUUCUUUGUUUUAUUGGAGUUUUGCUUCUGUUGUUUGCUUCUAAUUCCAUUGUUUCUGGCCUAUGUUGUCUCCCUUUUGCUAUAUUUGAAGUCCUUUCUUUCUCCAGCCUCCUAGGUGCAAGGUUUUGCCGUGUUCCUCAGAAUACCUCCAAGCUCCGAGCUUAGACUCUUCUUGCCUCCCUCACCUCCCAGAGCUCUCUGAUGACAGAUAUACACUACCAUGCCCAGACUUUUUUUCCUUCCUGGUUUCUUAAGGUAUAAAAGAGUUCAUUAAUUUUACAGUACUGUUCUUUCUUAAUUUAAGCUUCUGAAGCUGUAAGUGUCCCUCCGGGCAACACUUCAGCCCCAUCUGUAAGUCAGGACAUUUUGGUUUUAGUUUCACCUGAUUCGUGUUUUCAAAUUUCCCUGGCAGUUUCUUUUUGCAAGCCUUCGUGAUUUACAAGUUCGAUGCUUGACUUCCAAAUGUGCCGGUCUUAUUAAGACCUUUUGCUGGCGUUGGUUAUUAAUUUAACCCUGUGUGGUCACAGAAUAUACUCCGUAUCACAAAUGCAAUUUAAAUGUAAAUGUAAUUUAAAUGUAAAUUUAAAAUAUAUAUUGGGAUUAGACUUGUAGCCAUAAAUGUGGACUAACUUCUCAAACAUUUGUGUGCAAUGCCAGCCUGGCUUAAAAGUACUGUUCUACUGUUGUGUGAUCAAGCUAGAUCCAGCUGGUUGUGAGUACUGACCAAGUCUUCUGUAUCUUUACUGAAACCACACUUGAUCUAGCAUAGCUAGGAGAAGAAGCAUAACACACACACACACACACACACACACACACACACACAUACACACAUACACACGGUAAUUGUGCAUGUGACCAGUUUAUCACUCCAGCAUUGCUGGUUACUUGCCACAAGCAUCUAGAAGCUGUUCUUAGAGGUACACACAUUUCAGAAUGACAUAUCAUCCUCAAGAACUGACCUGGUUACGAAUAUGAAAUGUCCCUCUUUAUCCCUGGUAAUAAUUCUACUUUACUUCAUCUUAUAUGAAUAUGUUCUCAUUUCCAUAUUAUACGAGUUUAUAUGGCAAAUCGUUGCUGAUCCUUUUAUACUUAGUGUAUUCCUUUACAGUGUAUGUUAGCUAUAAAUAGCAUGCACCUGACUUAGGUCCGGUAUUAUAGUCUCUACCAUUAAAUUACACUUUUAGGCUACUCGUAUUUAACAUAAUGACAUUCAUAAUCAGGCUGAGUUCCACUACCUUGCUAUCUGACCCAGCUCUUUUUCUUUAUUCCUUCUGUACUUUUUAAAGAGUUGUUAUUAUUUUUAAUUAUGUGCAUGGGAUGGGAGAUAUGGACACGUGGGUACAGAACCUACAGAUCUCGGAUGUGGUGGCCUGAUGUGGGUGCUGGGAACAGACGUUGGAUCCUUUGGAAGAGCAGUAGGAGCUCCUAACUGCUAAGCCCUCUCCCCAGGCCUGUGCUGAGGACACCUUGUUGGAUACAGUAUCCCUGGUCUAUUGCUGCUUCCCUUUACCAAGCUUCUUGUUGCUUCCUUUUACCAAGCAUCUUCCUGCUCCCUGCUUCUUGAAAGGCAUCCACAGCCAUCACCAUCUCUGUUCCCGGUGGUGCAUCCUUUCCUCUGGCUGUCUGAACGUUGAUUAUGCUGUACUGUAAGGCCAUUUUCCCUGUGUUCAUCUAAAUUUGGACUUGGCAAACUUCUUAGAUCUGAGGGAUGAAUGCCCUCCUUAGAGGUAAAAGCCCAAAACUUGAUGGGCUUGCUCAGUUUUGAAGCUAAUUCUCAGCCAUCUCUUUGAAUAUUAUCUCUCCAGGAUCUCUUCUCGCCUCUGUUGCUAGCACCCUUGCCACACAUAUAGUAGAGUCCCCUAUUGAACACUAAUGUUCCUUUCCUAAUUUCUUCCUGCCUCACUCUUCCCAGUGAAGCGGGCUCCUCAGUGUUUGUGAAAUGUAUCCCCCAAAUCACCUGUCCUCUCUGUCUCUAUUGCCUCCCAUCUCCUCUUCAACGCAGUCACUAUUUUAAAUAUUUUUACCUCAAUAAUGUUCCUUUCUUUUUUUGUUUCCAACGUGAGAGUCCUCUGUGGUUCUUCUCUGCACCAGCCUGCUGUGGUUUCCAGUCCAACUGUGCAGAAGAUCACUUAGAAGCUUCUUAUUAUGGGGAAAUAGCCCUCUGCUGUACCUGUCCAUUCUCCAGCAUGGCAGUCUGUCUCCUGGGACCUCUAGCCUCUGUAGAAAGCUUUUCAUAUGACUGUCUAUGUGUCUACAGCUAGGAAAGCGUCUCCAUGCAGCAGCAGCUUUUGUCUGGCAUGGUUAGUCCAGCAGGUUUUGGGGAGACACUGACUGACCUUCUGACCCCAAGGUACUGGGCCUUGGCAUUCACCUCUGCCAUCCCCAAAUCUGGAGUAUAGGCUCCUUCCAACCUCAGGUUCGGCCUCCAGGACUAGGUCCAGAGGUCUGCACUCUCUCCUCUCCUCUCUCCAUCUGUGCUAGAAGACACUGCAGACUGGGAAACUUUAUCCCAGGAGUCACUUUGACUUCAGUUUCAAUUAAUCACUCAGAUUUUACCUUCCUUGUUACAAGGACCUGAAUAUCUUGAUGUCCAGGUCUCUAGUGCAUAAUACAUCAAAAAAAAAUUCUUUAAAUCAUGGUCUCCAGGCUGAAGUAGACAAGCUCUGAAGCCUAUCUUUCCACCCAAGAACAUGGUCCAUUAAUCUACUUUCUGCACAUUUUCACUAUAUCAAAAGAAAUAUAGCUUAGGAAUGUUGCCUUCUAAAAAUAACUGCCCUCUGCUUUAAAUUCACUUUCACGAGUAUUUCUGAGAAUGGCUGCUUCCCCAGUCAUUGCAGGCAGAGACCACAGCUCCAUGGCCAGGACCCUUUCAGCUAAGUCCUUCCUGGCACAGCCUUCCUCCAUACCCGCUCUGAAGCCAGCUCCUACAGGUCGAUCUGUAGAAAAGUGUCAUUUUGUUAAGUAUGUUCUCAGCUGCCUGCUCACAGCCUUUCCAUUCCAUUCUCCAGUAAAAAAUCCUGGGAGCUGGCAGAGCAAAUUAUUAUAGCAUUUGACCAUUAAAUCUGUGUGCUUAAAGAAAAUGCAAAUUUCAAAAUUGCAAGCUCUCCCUUGAUACUUCCUCCCACCCACACCACCAGGCCUUGUGUCGUGCACUCCUCCAGCUGCAGCCUGCCCACCAGCUCCCCCCCCCCAGUAGCCAUCCUAACCUACAGGCCCCAGAAGUGCUCCUGCAGCACCGUGACCACAGCAAUGUGACUGGCUGGGUAUUGCCCUUCAAGAUAAACUAAAAGCCUCCGUGUGCACCAGCUCACUUGGCUUCUCACUCACAACUCUGGUACGUGGGGAAGAGACGCUGCAGAAUUGGUGAUGUUCUUCUCCACUUUAGCUUGUAGUCUCUCUUUAAUCCAAACAGGACGUGCUAAGCAUACUAGGUACCAGGUCCUAUGCUGAGUACCAGAAAGUAAUAAAAAUCAUAGAACCAUGCCUUUCUAAAGGUGCACAUUCCCAGAUGAAACAGAAUGCUUAGUAAAAGCCUGCACAUAGAUACUGUGCAUUCAUCCUUAUGCCUACUUCUCUAUGUUCUGGGCAACAGACAGAAGAAGCAGAGAUACAGAGAUAGAUGGACAAGUUAAUAGACAGGGUGAUGGGCAGACAGAGACAGGGAGGAAUACAGAGGCCAUGUGUCCAAGGACAUAACCAAAGGAACAGGAGAGAGAUGAGCAGUGUCUACCUGAUAACUCUCGUGGUGCAGAGCAGCUCCAAGGGUUUGGGAGUGAACUGAGAAUGUCCCCAAAUACAGAACCAGAUAGAAAAUGGGCAUGUGUCUGAGAGUUAGAAACUGAAUCAACCAUGUAAGGUCAGCCUCACCAAGUGGAGAACUGCCAAGCUGGGAAGAAAGCAGCAGGCAGGGAAAGGUCUCAACAAGGAGGGCACAGCAAGGUGGAUGGGUCUGGGAGACUGCAGAAAAUGCCCCUUAAACAUGCUAGUGUUAGCUUUCGUGACCCAAGUCAUGGCAUGUGUCUGCCUUUAGGAUUAUACAGUUCUUCCAAACACAGGCAGAACACAUGAGGGAAGGUUCCAGAGAUGGUGCUGGCUUCUGCCUGGCAAAGGAAGUGCUCAUUUUGAUUUGGUAAAGCUCUGAAAGUAGUUACCUCUUUUAAAAGAUUUUCUUUGUCUGAAACAUGGCCUUCACACACAUACUUUGGUUCUGGUUGACUAUGGGCCAUCCUUCUCCCCCAUAGUUCCCCCCAACACACUUUGCACCUCGUUAUCUGCGUGUCACAUUAUCCUAUUGUCCUUCCCACUUACCUCCUCAAAAUCUGUUUUUUCACCUCUCAUGGACCCCUUUUCCAGUUCCAUGGCCUAUAUUCAUGUGCAUUCCCACAAAAAUCUACGUAUAAAAAAUUAAGGGCUGGAGAGAUGGCUCAGUGGUUCAAAGCACUGACUGCUCUUCCAGAGGUCCUGAGUUUAAUUCCCAGCAACCACAUGGUGGCUCACAACCAUCUGUAAUGAGACCUGAUGCCCUCUUCUGGUGUGUCUGAAGACAGACAGCUACAGUGUCCUCAUAUACAUGAAAUAACUAAAUCUUUUAAAAAAAUUUUUUUAAUUAAAAGCUAGGACACUAAAAGCUAGGACACAUAUAUUCAAGAGACGCAAUAGGUUUUAGAAAUAAUAUACCCAGGGAUAAACCAAACCAAGGUGGUAAAAAAUCUCUGCCAUGAGAACUUUAAGACACUGAAAAAAAUAAAGUGAAGAAGACAUCAGAUGGAGGACUGGAAGAAUUAAUAUUAUAAAAAUGGUCUUACUACCAAAAGUGAUUUCCAGAGUGGACACUGUCCUGCCAAAGUCCUAACAGCAUAAUUCACAGGAGAGUUUGUGUUUAUUUCCUUAUUUUCCCUACCGCCCAUCUAUGCUAACUGUCCCUCUCCUACUCUCAGGUUUGUUUGUUGUUUUUUUUUUUAAAUAUAGAUACUACAUGUGGGAGAAAACAUGGUGUUUAUCUUUUUGAGUCUGGCUUACUUAACAUAAUAUGCUGAUCACCACUUUCAUCCUAUGUCCCUAAAGUGACAAAACUCCUCAAGACAGAAGAAAACUCCAUCUACACACACAUUUAUAUGUUUCCUUAUCCAUUCAGGUGUAGGCAGACAUCCAGGAGGGCUCCAUGCAUUGGCCAUGAGGUAUGGUGUCUCUGUGGUCUGCUGGCUUUGGUUCCUUCCCCUAUACACCCAGGAGUGGCUUAGCUGGGUCAUAAACUCCUUUGAGUUGCACGUUUUGCUUUUAAGGAGCCUCCAUAUUGAUCCGCAUUUAGUCAGCAAAGAAGAGAUCGCACAAAUCCCCUCCAGUAUUUGCUUUCAGUUGUUUCCUUGGUGAUGGUCACUCUGACGGGGCUGAGGCAGAAGCUCGGUGUAGCUUCGAUCUGCAUUUCGAGGUCUAAAGGGGUUUAAUGCAUUUAAAGCACUUGCUGGCCACUCGUGCCUCCCUUGAGAACUCUAUUCAGCUCAUUCCCCCUCACUGAUGGAGGUGUUGGUUCGUUUGGCUUUAAUUGCAUCUACAAGUUGCUUAUUAUAAAAUGAAGCACAUACACAGAAAAUACAGAGGCGAUGUCUUAGAUAUUUUUCAAUUGCCAGGACAAAGGCAACUUAAAAAAGAAAAUGUUUAACUGGGGGUUCGAGGGUUCAGAGCCUUGGAACCCAUCACUAUGACGGUGGAGAACAUGGCGGCAGGAGCAGGCAGAUGGGCAUGACACUGGAGCAGCAGCCAAGAAUUUUGGGACUGCUUGGGCUUUGAAAUCUCUAGGCUGACAUUGUGGGCAAUGACACAUCUCCUCCAAUAAGAACACAUCUGCUAAUCAUUCCCAAAUAGUUCCACCAAUUCAGGAGCAAGCAUUCCUUGUGAGCUUAUGUGAGCUUCUGAUAAGGGGGCAUUUUCAUUCAAACCAGCACAGGUAAAUUCUGUGAAUCAUCAUAAAGCAAACAAACCCACUGCUCGACCCAAGACACAAACAGCAAUACGCCAGGGGCACAACCUGCCUACACUGUCAUCACCGCCUAUCCCCCUUCUCACAGCAAUGUCUUUCUGACCUUUAACACGGGUCCCUUAACGAGAAAGGACUCAUCUGCUUGCUGUGCUGUGUGUAUCAGAGGCACUCUCUUCCACCAGCUGUGGCUAUCGCCCCAUCGUGCUCUCAGACUCCGCCCCAGCACUGCUAAGGUCUUGGUUGGUGUGGCAGUGGGAGGCUACCCAAGAGGCCUGCAAGGGGUAUGGGAUUGAGUAAGAGCUCCCACUGACAGCACACUUCAUUAAUGCACCAAGGGCAAGACACCUUCCUGCCAGAGUCCACAGGCAGAUGGAUGCACAUGGCACAGACCGGUGGGGGUUGGGGGUGGGGGGAUGGAGACGACACAGGGGAAAGGGACAAAGCAGAAGAAGGCAGAAAGCACACUCAUCAGGACAGGGGUUAGAGGUUACAUUUCCCCAUAUAUAAAGUACUGGAGACUAGACAAUACAGAACUCUAUAACCCUCUCCCCUAAUGGGCCACACCCCAGCAGGGCUAUUUCAUCUCUGGGAAGUGGAUAAACCCUUCCUUGCACAUUACCCUCCUCAGUAUAGAGCUCAACGUUCAGAGGGAAGAGACAGAGAGUCCCACUCACACACCCUGCACCUAGACAUUGCACUGGCCUAGCCAAGGACCAAAAGCAAUCAUUUCCUACAUCAGAGACAUGAGGACCAUGUAUGAAAUUUCAAGUGUCCCAGGCUGAAAAACCUGAUACUCUGCAACCCAGAAGAGGGGUUGAGAAGGAUGCAAACACAUGUCCAGCUAAGGGCAGAGACAUAGAAAGUAGCAUUUGCAUAUCGACAAGGGGCGCGAAGCGACAGGAGGUUGUUAACGCUACCAAAGCAGGCAGCCUAAGUAAUCAUCUACAAAGUAGGGAAGAUUAUCCUCAGAACUCCCUGGCCUAAAGCACCUGUAAAUGUCAAAAAAUACACAGGACAGGAACCCAAGGGGAGAUGGAAACCUCCACACAAACUCCACACCUUCCUCGCUGUUAACUUGACCACCUCACAAGACCACAUAAAGAACUUCUAGUUCUAUUCAAUAGGCUUCUCUUCAGUUUGCUGAAAGGUAUUGGGAGUCCGGAAAGGUGACUUGGUGGGUGAAGGGCUUGCUGUGCUUGCACAAAGACCUGGGUAUGGUCACCAGCAUCCAAGACAAAAACAGACAGAGCACGGUGGCACAUGCCCGCAACGUCAGUGCUGGACGGCAAAGACAAGGGGAUCCCAAGAGCUGGGGGUCAGUCAGUCAGGCGAAAUAGCAAUGCAAACACACAGACACACGCCACAUCACAACUGUUCAAGAUUUCAUCAUUAUUCUACAGAGACAUGGAUUCCAUUCUCUUUUAAGGACUUAUUAAUUUUAUUUUAGGUGUAAGGAUAUCUUGCUUGCACAUAUGCCUGUGUACCACAUGUCAGUCCUGUGGAGGCCAGAGGAGGAUAUCUGGUAUAAAAUCCUGCAACUGGAGUUACAGACAGCUGUAAGCCACCUCGCCGGUUCUGGGAAGGAACCCAGGUCGUUUGGAAGAACAGCCAGGACUGUUAACUGCUGAGUCAUCUUUUCAGCCCUGACAACAUUUCUUUUGAAAAGAAGAAAAACAGUAUUGGAUGUCUGAAAUCAACUGGCUGUAAAGCCAUGGGUUAGUUUCUAGGCCCGCUAUUCUGUUCUGUUGGUCUGCGUGCCUGUUUUCAGGCUAGGCCACACUACAUAUUACUGUAGUUUGAAGAGAAACAGAAUGACACUUCCAGCUUUGUUGUUUUUCCUUAAGCUUUGGCUGUUUGGGGUCCUUGGCGAUUCUACAAUAUUUUACCAGUCUCUGUGGAUGGGGCCAUUGUUAUUUCAAUAGUGAUUUAGUGGAUCUGUAGCUCUCUUGGAAUAGUGAGUUAAUUUUACUAAUUUCCACUUCUCUGAUCCAUGAACAUGGGCUAGCUCUCUGAUGUGUGUUUCCACCCCCAUUUCUUUCAUUGAUGUUUUAGUUUUAAAUGUAGAGUUGCCACACUUCCUUGGUUAAAUUUACAAGGGCAUUCUUGUCAUUAUUAUAAAUGAGACUGAUUCACUAAUUUCUUUCUUGGGCAUUUUUUUCCUAUUACUAUACACAACUGCUACUAGGUUUUGAGUGUCUUUAGAGGGCUCCCUGUGAGGUCUUAACCACCUUCAGGAAAAAUCUCCUUUUGUCCUUUCCAGCUUUGGUAACUUUUCUAUCCUUCUCUUACUUAGCAUUCUGUUAAACGGAAGUGGCAAAAGACACUACCUUCCUCUCAUUCCAGAUGGUAAAGAAAAAGCUUUCAACUUCCUGCUGGGCAGUAUAUGAGCUAUAGGUCUGGCAUACAUGAACCUCGAUGGUCAUGAGUUACAUGUCCUAAAUACAUAAUUCAUUAAGUGGCUUUUAUUGUCGUGAAGAGAUGUUGAGUCCAUGAUGAGAAAAGGACAGUCUCACUCAGGGGAAGCUAGUGAGAAAUCUCACUGGGUAAAGCUGACCAGCAAGAGAGCACAGAGGGUAAAGGUGCUUGCCACCAAGUCCCAGGACCUGUGUUCAAUGCCCGAGACCCGCACAGUAGGAGAGAACCAAUUCCUACAAACGACCCUCUGAUUUCCACAAUUAUAUCAUGACUUGCACAUAUAUGUGCACACAUGCAUGCGGGCACAUAUAUACAUACAUAAAUACAUACACAAUUAAAAAAUAAAUAAAAAACCCUAAGCUAGGCAUAGUGAUUCAAAUCUAUAAUUCCAGCACUUGGGUGGCUGAGGCAGGGGGAUCACAAGGCCAAGAGAGGUCUGAACUACACAGUGACUCCCAGGCCAGCUUAGGCUAAAAAAUAAGACCCUUUCUAAAAAAAAAAAAAAAAAAAAAACAGAAAGGAAAAAAAGGAGGAGGAGGAAGAAAUAAUAAAACUUUUCCAAAAGUCACUAAAUGACUAUAAGGCUUACAUUUAACAUGCCUGAUUACCAGGAAUAUUAUUUCUAAUAUAAAUGAUUAUACUUUUCUUUUUGAUUGAAUAGUUCAUUAAAAAUCCAAUUCUAUUACCCUGUUGUUUUUAAUUAAAGCUUGUAGGGGGAAAACAAUCUUAAAGUCAUCAGCUUCUGACAAAAGGAUUGAGAAUUCAGGGUGCUAAAACAUUUGCCUGACGGUGCAGUCAUCAAGACGUUCAAAUAAUUACUUUUAACACUACUAAAAAUUAACACCAGCAGUUUAAAAUGCCCUCUUGUUUGGGGACUCAAGCGAAUCAAUAAGACCAUGCUAAAAGCUAAUGGAAACAGAAGCCCACACGGAGGACUGAUGCUGCUUUACUACUCUCUCCUCUAGCUGAAGUGACAAUAUUUAUCAGUGCUGUUCACCGCUGGUUGUUUCUGCAGCACAAAGGCUCAUACUCUGCUUGGGUGAUGCUUUCUGAGGACAGGAAAAGAAGCCUAUUCCUCGAUGGGGUCCCCUGAGGAUUGCAGCUUUCACUAUUAGCCAGCAAAGACCCUUGGGGCAACAGAAGACCCUGCUUCUUCUCCAUGCCACCACCCUCACAGAGUCCUAGAAAAUGGCUCUCAUUGGGGAUCCUAGGACCCUCUCACACCCCACCCAUCAUCUCAAGUUGCUCCCUAGAGAUACAGGAGUAGCCAAGGAGGCCUCUAGAGGCCACAUGAGGAGGAGCAAGCCUAGAAUACAGCAUUCCUCAAGGGGUUGUUUACAGGGAAGUGACAUACUAGGGGCUGAGGCUUGGACCACAGGAUGUUGCUGCUGGAAGAUGGUGAACCUUUAAGAGAUGGGGCCUAAGGGAAGGCUAUAAAUCACUCAGGGUGACUCUUGGCCACUUCCUUUUGCCUAUUUUGCUUCCGGGACAUGAUAAGAGUCCCAGCUCUUACCAGCCUACCACCAGCCUGGCUUUUAUAUGGAAGGUAGAGAUCCGAACUCAGAUCCCUAAGAUUUUGUGGAAAGAACUUUACCAGCUAAGUCGUUUCUCCAGCCCAAGUUUUCUCCUUUACAUUUUUCUGGACUUUUCUUACAAGAUAUUUAUUACAAGGUACAUGAUUAACUUUAUUAUAAGAAAAAAAUGACCAUGUAUAAGUAAAAGAACAAAGUCAGAAAUCUCCCACUUUGCUCUCAUAGACACUGAUACAGGUCAUCUAAGCUCCUGACUCCAGUCCAUACCACCAAGUUGCCUCAGUCACAUCCCACAGCUACUGGUCCUUUUAAGCAGCUGUUCUUGAGAGCAGAGACUAUGUCUGUGUACCUCUUCUCUUCCUUCAGUAUCUCCAUAUUCUCUGGUGACUUCUGAAGCACACAUCCUUGCACAGUUUGUAAGAAGACGGAAAUCACUGUACUACACCAGUAGCUCUGGCCAGAAACCAGAGUAAAAACACCACUGAGAUCCUGAGGAGAACAGCUGGGUCCCCAGGACCAGAGGAACUCAAAGCAGGUAUCCGUUAGUCUUAGAGUGUUACCUCAUAGGUGUGCACCCAAAUGGCGGGUGAAAGAACCGACCACCAACAAGGUCCUCAUCCCAUGUCACAAAGGACUGAGCCAAAGCCCAAGCAUCACUGCUGGCCCCUGACUUGCCUGCUUGACUCUCCAAGUUUGCUUCUUACAGCUCCUGCAAGACUUGCUCUAACUACUUCUGCUCCAAGCACUGAAAACAAUGUGUGUUCGAUGGAAACACUUGUCACAGCUGUGGCUGAUGCAAACCCAGUUAUUAUGGUUUGGAUGUGGCCUGAGUGUUUCCCCAAGGCUCAUGUGGUAGAAGUGUGUAGUGCCCGGUAAAGACACACAGAGAAGUGGUGGGACCUAGUGGAGAAGUAACUCAGUUAUGGAAGCAUUACCUAAAAGAGAUCAGUGUGGUUCUGAUGAGACCACAGUUAUUCGCCAUGAUAUCAGAUUGAUAAAUGAGGAGGAAGAGGAAGAAGAGGAGGAGAAUGUGAGCCUAACCCUGAAUCUCUCUACCUUCCUUUGUCUCCAUGAAAUCUUCAACAUCAGCUUCCAUCUAUGAAGACCCAGAGAUGCCCAAUAUUGGCUAAUCAGCCUCUAAGACUGUGAAGUGAAUACCUCUUCUCUUUAUACUCACCUUUAUGCAUAUCUUGUUACAGCAGCAAAAAAGGAACUAAGACAUUAAGUGAUAAUGAUUAGUAGCUACUAUUCACUGGCUAUUUCUCCCAGAUUUGAAGAAAUGGCUACAUGAAUCUGACAGAGGUAGGCAUAUCUUCCAGUAGGGAGGAGGCUUCAAUUGCCUCCCUGCAUGCACCUCUGUUACUGAUGUGCUUAGACGGUUUCUCAGUACUCUCUUAAAUCCACAACUCAUGAAUCAUCACAUUUUAGAUGUGGACUUGAGUUCCAAAUGCCUUUCCAACAUGGGCUUCGGUUAUUUGCCCAGGGGAAUAAAUUCAAAUUCCACAUUUAGAGCUAAGGCACAAGUUCUUGCAGGUCUCAGCUUAAAAAUCAAGAACACAAACUUGGCCCCAACGGUGACCUACCUUUAGAGAGGGAACGGUUUUGUGUGUAGACAUCACAAAGCUAGUGCCUUGCCAGAGUCAGUUGAGCAUACACACAGUGAAAAGAGCUCCCCGAGCCUUUCAGGACAGAGCUGUUCAUCUCUUACACCUCUAGAAAAUUCAGAUUUGAAUCUGAAGAGAAAAAUGGCAUCUUCCCGCAAAGCUUCACGGAAGCACAAGAACUCAAUCCACUUACUUCUGGUGAGCCACUGUGCCCAAUGCCAUAGCCCUCACCAAAGGGGAGGGGCUCAAUGGAGACCGGACAAGCAUAGUCAGGCAGUUGGCCGCCUCCAGACAGCAUGAUGAGGGCAAACCAUCACUGCACACGAAAAUGUUAUUACCUCUCGGGGUUAGUCAAAGAAUUAACAAGAAUGUGUGUAAAGCACACAGCACAGGGAACAAAGCAGGGUCCAAGUAGGUGGAAGCUAGAGUCUCGUCAUCCUACAUAAGGCACCAUUCUGGAGAGAGGCCAACAAGUGGGAUGAGAAAGGGCUGGGCCAGGCCUGUGGAUCUGGAUCCAUCACUCUAACCCUAGAGCUACCAGAGUAAAUAUUGCUCCCUUAGAAGAAGCCUCAGGAACACCCUCUGAAAACCCAGACUCUGUGGUCUGGUGAAGACUCUUGACUCUUUGUCCUCGGGCCUAUGUGUAGGUAACACCAGUUGACAAUCUGCCCAGGAACCUACGAGGAAACAAAGAUCUAGCUGCACUGUCCCCAGCAACAACCCAGCAGAGUAAUACUGGGCCCAGGGAUGGCAUGUAUAGAGAGGACCUGGGCUGCGUGCAACUGUCCUGGAGACUUGGGGCUGGCGAGACUGGAAGACUGGAUCCAGAGGACUAGGGGAAGAGGGGGGGGGGGGAGGGCAGAGAAGGGCAGGAGGAAGAGGAAAUGCAAUGUGGGAGGUGGGGGAAAGAAACUUGGGAACAACUUGAGAUGGGUGGGGGCUCCCAGCGGUAAGGUCUGAAUGGAUCAUCCUAACUGACCUGGGCGUUGAUGCAAAGGUGCUGCUGCAGUUGGAAACAAACACAUCUCCAUUGUUCUCUUUUAUCCCGUAUCAGAUCUACACGGGAAACGCCCACCCUCACCACCUAAGCAAUGAGUGGCCCGAGACCCUAGGAGCACAGUAACUUUCCAGAGGAAGCAGGAAUACAGGCUGGACCUUUGGUUAGAGCCCACGGGGCUUUCUGCUAUUUACACCGAACACAGCCUUACCGCCGGGACUCCUCUGCCAGGCCGCCGAGGUGAUCCAGAUGAGACACACUGAUGUGAGUUUUAAUUUCCUCUCUUUGCCAGAUACGUAUUGACAUUUGGGCCACAAUCCAACCCUUAGGGAGAUUCAUUUAAUGAGUUUUGUGUUGCUUUUUAAAGUACCUAUAUUGUUCAAGAGCACAGAAUGGGGGGGGGGGGGGUGCGGAGAACAGGACCACGGGAACAGACCAAGAUCUGAGGAGAGGAAGCCUGCCCAGGCUAAUGACAGAGCAGAAGAGGUGGUCUUCGGGACUCAGAGGGGUCUUUUCUGGAAGCUCAAAGGACACCUUGAUGAACUAGCUGUUACCUACUACUAUCCCCAAGCUCAACACUUAGCAAGUCAGAGGACUACUGGUCCCUUGGAGGCCUCUGCAGAGAAGUAAGGAAGAAACUCAGUAGCUCAGUGGGCAGUCAGCUCCACUCAAGCCACUCUGCUCCAAGAACCCAGCCUGCAUGUCACCUUUGGGCCUUCUCGGUAGCAGCACCCAGGGUCCUAGUAGUCUCUCUGGUUAAUACAAGUCUCUGUACUGAGAAACAUGCAGACCCUACUGGCAAGGCCUGCUUCUUUUCCUGUGUAAUCCCAGGAACUACCCUAGCUCUAAGAUACUGCUCUCUUCAGCAAAUAUUUAUUGAGUACAUUCAGCAUGCCAGACACUGCACUUCAAAAGGGAGGCUGUGACAGUGAGAAGGACAGAAGGGGACAGAUGAUGCCAACACAGCAGACAAAUUACUGCUGCAGCCACAAGAGGCAAGGGGUUGAGAGGAGGGCUUCCUGGAGGGGAUGCCGGCACAGAACAAAGAGCAGGACUCAGAGCAACGGAGCAAAGGCUACAUCUCAGACUUGAAUAUUCUCGUCUCAUUAAAAUGCAGAGCCUGACUCCGGAGGCCUACCUCGGGACCCUCUAGAUCGCAUCUCCGAUUGGCUUGCAGAAAUGCAGUGCUGGUAGCUGAUAGUCUCAAAGCACUAUCUGGGCUGAGCUCAACCCUGAGGCUGAGCAUCCUAGUCCAUGUCCCUCGGCUUUGGCCAAGCCAGUGGUUCUCAACCUGUGGGUCGUGACCCCUUUGGAGGUCACAUGUCAGAUACCUAGCGUAGCAGAUAUUUACAUUAUGAUUCGUAAUGGUAGCAAAAUUACAGUUAUGAAGUAGCAACAAAAUAACUAUGUUUGAAGGUCUUCAUAACGUGAGGAACUGCGUUAAAGGUCACAGCACCAGGAAGGCUGAGAACCACUGCUCCAGCUCACUUUAGAGUCAGUUUCUUGAGAGGCAGUUCUUUUUUUUUUUUUUUUUUUUUGGUUCUUUUUUUCGGAGCUGGGGACCGAACCCAGGGCCUUGCGCUUCCUAGGUAAGCGCUCUACCACUGAGCUAAAUCCCCAGCCCCGAGAGGCAGUUCUUAUUUAUACUUCCCUGUUAAGCACUGCUGGCAUUCUUGUCUGUCUUGGUGAACAUUUUUUACUUUGUUUUUAAGAAAGAGGAGAGAAACUUCUGGAAUUUUCCAGGAAUAUCUCAGGUUUAAAAAAAAAAAAAACACUUAGUUGAUGUUUUAUAAAUUUUAUUUUCAAUUUUUGCAGAAAAGAGUGCCUCCUCGCUUACGUUCUACCAUGCCCACUGUGCAUGCUGUCACACAAUAUCCUCGCCUCCCCAAGCAGUUCUAAUUUCAAAUAUUUUAUCUCACUGUCAUUUAUAUAUUUUGUCAGGCAGCAGGUCUUGAUAUUAAAUUUAAAAGCACAGUCAUACCUCUACUGAGUCACUCCGGUGCUGGAGAUGUUCUUACACAGUGACUCCCACUCACUAAGUCAAUUUUACACCCUGGAGCUUAUCAAAUGGGGAGAAUAUGAAAAAGAAUGGUAGCAUGGGACUGAGGGACCAGACAGCACCUCACUCUAUGCAGAAUCCCCCAGAAAUGGGUACAAAUACAAUGGUGCCACAGCAGAGCUCAGUGACAAAGGAGGGGAGGUACGUUCCACCCACAGAUGAACAGGUCAGGUGUGGCAGGGAAGAGAAGCAGUGGAAAGAAAAGGUCAACCCAUCCAGGCGCAUGGGAAAGGCCACGGCAUUCGAUGAGCCCAAGCCCUCCACACAGUGAUGCCCCAGACCAGCGGUAACUACAUUAGCUAUCACAUGUGGACGCGCUUCUGGCCUCAGCUCCCCAUCCUGAGCAAAGAAGCUGGCCUCACAGGUCGCCGGGAGAUGAGAACAGCUCAUUUUUUAUUGUCUAAGCAUUGAGCCUCCGAAGAUUAACAGCCAUGCCAAAAGGGCCUGGAGGCAGCUCAACACAAGGUCCCUCUGGCCAAACUGUGACAAUUUGAGCAAUGACAAUAGCAACUCUAAGUGGAUCAAAACACUGAGAACAAAAAUCCAUGUGUCUGUGAAGAUGCUAAGAGCUGGGGAACAGAGCUGGAGUUCAGAAUUGGAAAAAGGUUGAGGAUGUGCUUCUCUGUAGUCAGAGGGCCCCAGCAGAUGGUCUAACUAUUCUAAUUUAUAGAAGGAUACUUUGAAAGCAGAAAUAAGAAAGUACUUAGCACUUAGGACUCAGGCAAAGCCAUUUGCUAUGGGUGAAGGACCAACACAGGGCUGUUCUCUUGUGAAAGGAGAACCUGCUGGGCUUAGGGCCUUGUCAACCCAUCCAAGGCCUCCAUCUUGGCCUCAGUGUUGGCGAAACAGUCAACUCGAGUAUCAAAAGCCACAAUAAUUCUCUUACAAUGAGUGAAGGUUCAGAGGAGAGGUGUCAACUGAGUGCUCAGCUACAGGUGGACAUCUAAAUCACUGCUACUCCAGGACUCAGGGUCAUCACAGAACAGAGGGGACGGAAAAAGAGGCGCCAAGGUCUAGGAAGAUGGGACCUCCCUCUGGACAGGACAGGAAAACAACUCAUGACUUCACAGCAGCUGCAGUUGCCUGCACAAGACCUGUACAAGAUCAAGCCAGUGAACUUUUCAACAUGGAGAUUCCCUCCUGAAUACCGUGUGUUUCAAGGUGGGAUGCUGCACCAUGGCCAGAUGAGGAC